This 292-nucleotide ribosomal RNA is filed under the name uncultured bacterium. RNAcentral describes it as "partial 16S ribosomal RNA". It matches the Rfam family "Bacterial small subunit ribosomal RNA", at positions 505 to 796 of the family's 1533-position model. The record is from RNAcentral.
GUGCCAGCAGCCGCGGUAAUACAGAGGGUGCAAGCGUUGCUCGGAAUCAUUGGGCGUAAAGGGCAGGUAGGUGGUCUGAUUUGUCUGAGGUGAAAUCCUGGGGCUUAACCCCAGAAGUGCCUCAGAAACGGUCAGACUAGAGUGCUGGAGAGGGUCGUAGAAUUCCUGGUGUAGCGGUGAAAUGCGUAGAGAUCAGGAGGAAUACCAGAGGCGAAGGCGGCGACCUGGACAGUGACUGACACUCAACUGCGAAAGCGUGGGGAGCAAACAGGAUUAGAAACCCGAGUAGUCC